This 27-nucleotide non-coding RNA is filed under the name Mus musculus (house mouse). The record is from RNAcentral. Lineage: Eukaryota; Metazoa; Chordata; Mammalia; Rodentia; Muridae.
AUNGAGGUCAAAUCCCAGUGUGCAGUA